This 82-nucleotide transfer RNA is filed under the name Sphaerisporangium siamense. Its description in RNAcentral is "tRNA-Ser". The record is from RNAcentral. Lineage: Bacteria; Bacillati; Actinomycetota; Actinomycetes; Streptosporangiales; Streptosporangiaceae.
GGGCGCCGUCGGCGACAGGAUCGGCCGCCGCCGGCUGCUGAUCGCCGGAGCCGGGGCGUUCGGCGUCGCCUCGCUGGCCGCC